Molecule: ribosomal RNA, 882 nt
Filed under: uncultured archaeon
Lineage: Archaea
Description: bacterial SSU rRNA
Rfam family: Archaeal small subunit ribosomal RNA
Source: RNAcentral
UCCGGUUGAUCCUGCCGGACCCCACUGCUAUCGGGAUAGGACUAAGACAUGCUAGUCGAGUGAUUCAGGCAAAACGAGUCACGGCACACAGCUCAGUAACACGUGGCUAAUCUGCCCUUAGGACGAGAACAACCCCGGGAAACUGGGGCUAACUCUCGAUAGGCGAAGAACUCUGGAAUGAGUCUUUACCUAAAUAGUGCAACGUUAUCCUCGUUGCGUCGCCUAAGGAUGAGGCCGCGACCGAUCAGGUUGUUGGCGAGGUAAUGGCUCACCAAGCCUUUUACCGGUGCGGGCCGUGAGAGCGGGAGCCCGGAGAUGGGCACUGAGACAAGGGCCCAGGCCCUACGGGGCGCAGCAGUCGCGAAAACUUUGCAAUAAGCGAAAGCUUGACAGGGCUAUCCCGAGUGCCAUCCGCUGAGGAAGGCUUUUACCCAGUCUAGAACGCUGGGGGAAUAAGGAGAGGGCAAGUCUGGUGUCAGCCGCCGCGGUAAUACCAGCUCUCCGAGUGGUGUGGAUGUUUAUUGGGCCUAAAGCAUCCGUAGCUGGCUAGGUCAGUCCCUUGUUAAAUCCACCGAAUUAAUCGUUGGAUUGCGGGGGAUACUGCUUGGCUAGGGGACGAGAGAGGCAGACGGUAUUUUCGGGGUAGGGGUGAAAUCCUAUAAUCCCGGGAAGACCACCAGUGGCGAAGGCUGUCUGCUAGAACGCGCCCGACGGUGAGGGAUGAAAGCUGGGGGAGCGAACCGGAUUAGAUACCCGGGUAGUCCCAGCUGUAAACGAUGCAGACUAGGUGUUUGGACGGCCACGUGCCGUUCUAGUGCCGCAGGGAAGCUGUUAAGUCUGCCGCCUGGGGAGUACGAUCGCAAGAUUGAAACUUAAAGGAAU